RNAcentral lists this ribosomal RNA (498 nucleotides) under uncultured bacterium. RNAcentral's name for it is "partial 16S ribosomal RNA". It matches the Rfam family "Bacterial small subunit ribosomal RNA", at positions 30 to 523 of the family's 1533-position model. The record is from RNAcentral.
AUUGAACGCUGGCGGAAUGCUUUACACAUGCAAGUCGAGCGGCAGCGCGGGGCAACCUGGCGGCGAGCGGCGAACGGGUGAGUAACAUAUCGGAACGUACCCAUUGGUGGGGGAUAACACAUCGAAAGAUGUGCUAAUACCGCAUACGACCUGAGGGUGAAAGGGGGGGAUCGCAAGACCUCUCGCCGUUGGAGCGGCCGAUAUCGGAUUAGCUAGUUGGUGAGGUAAAGGCUCACCAAGGCGACGAUCCGUAGCUGGUCUGAGAGGACGACCAGCCAAACUGGAACUGAGACACGGUCCAGACUCCUACGGGAGGCAGCAGUGGGGAAUUUUGGACAAUGGGGGCAACCCUGAUCCAGCCAUUCCGCGUGAGUGAAGAAGGCCUUCGGGUUGUAAAGCUCUUUCGGCAGGAACGAAACGGUGGCUACUAAUACUAGCUACUAAUGACGGUACCUGAAGAAGAAGCACCGGCUAACUACGUGCCAGCAGCCGCAGUAA